RNAcentral lists this transfer RNA (77 nucleotides) under Rhodanobacteraceae bacterium. Its description in RNAcentral is "tRNA-Pro". It matches the Rfam family "tRNA". Rfam says of the family: Transfer RNA (tRNA) molecules are approximately 80 nucleotides in length. Lineage: Bacteria; Pseudomonadati; Pseudomonadota; Gammaproteobacteria; Lysobacterales; Rhodanobacteraceae. The record is from RNAcentral.
CGGGGCGUAGCUCAGCCUGGUAGAGCGCCAACUUUGGGAGUUGGAUGUCGCGAGUUCGAGUCUCGCCACCCCGACCA